CUCAUGGAUUGGCUCUCUCUGCAGGGCAGCUCCCCUUGUGAUUUCUGCUGCAGCUCCGUCAGUCAUGUGAAAACCUAAGAAAUUACAGGUAAAAAAAAGGGAUGUGCUCAUUAUUAAACUGAGCACAGACGAGCAAGAAGAGAUGGUCACGGCUGCUCAAUGAAGCACAUGAUUAUUGGAAAAUGUUGGGAUGCUGAGUAACAAGGAUGCACUGUAAGUAAGAAGGGUGGGCUGAACAGGAGAGAGAAAAUGAAAACAGAGGACAAGCUCCCAAAACCGCAAUCGGACAAGUUUUCUUUUAAAAGUUCUGGAGACUAAAAGUCUGAAAUCAAGCUGUCAGCAGGGUCAUGCCCGCUUCCUUAGAAGGCUGUAGAGAAGAAUCCUUCUUUGCUGCUCCUGGCUUCAAGUGGCUGUCACAAUCCUUGGCUUAUAGCUGCAUCACUCCCGUUUCUGCCCCUGGCUUCACAUGGCUUCUUCCCUCUGUGUGUGCUUGUGUUUCUCCAAAUUCCCCUCGUCUUACAAAGACAUUGGUAAUUGGAUUAACACUCACCCUGAUCAGCUUAUUGAAUUUGAAUCAGCUGCUGGAUGCCGUUGUUUUUUCUUGGGAACGUAUUUAUCCCAUUGUGGGCAUGUUCCUGUCUCCAACUCUCCGGCACUUUUUCUUUGCUCUUUAUUGAGAAGUCAACUUUGUGCUGAAGAAGUUUCUGUUUUCCAUAUGAUUGAUCUUCAGGUGGUGGGGGAGCCCUCACUGAAACAGUGGUUUUAAAAAAAUUACACCCUUUCAUCUUUGGUCUCAUCUUGUGGAAGAAAGAAGAACUGAGCUAUUCUACCAACUAUUGUGAACUGUUCAAAUUUCCUCUGGGGAGAAAAACCAGUUGCUUUCAAAGCUCUGAGGAGUAUCAAAAAAUGCUCCUAGGCUAAAUACAGUAAAUAAAAGGCAAUGUGGACUUUCAAAAGACUGCUCCAGGGGCACACGAGAAAGUUUUAGCUGGUGUGAGAAUCACUGAAACAGAAACCUGGGGCAGGUGGGGGGAAGGAACAGAUGAAAUCAGAAAGAAUAUCUAUAAAUUUAGCCUAUAUUUAUAGGGAUACCUAUACUCAUGGUCUUGGUGAAAUGAAACACUGAAAGAAAAUAUGUGCAAUCUCUUUUUAGAGUUUGUGACCUUGCAAAUUAAAAAUGGAAUUUACUGCUUUGUGCAUUAGAUUUAUUAAUAUGGACUUGUUCUUACAUAGCUCUUUAAUCUGUCUUUAUAGGUCAUUAUUUUUUACAACAGGCUCCUACCUUAUCUUUUGGAUUCUAGACUCACUGCUUUAAAUCUAUUUUGUGAGCAUGCUCACACGCAUGCGCGCACACACACACACACACACAUACAAUUAAAUACUGAAGACAUUUUUUGCCCUGGAGGGGGACUUCAAUCACCACCUUCUGAGAGUUGUCCUUGUGUAGUUUUUCUUUCUCAUUGGAUCGGGUUUGUUCUGUGUAACCAACAGUGUGUAACAGAAGUGAUGGUGUGCUGCUUAUGAAAUUAGAUAUUAAAAGACUAGCGUUUCCUUUCUGGAUGUAUUUUUGUUCCUUACCUCCCUCCCUCCAUCUCUUCUCUUCUCUUCUCUUCUCUCUCUCUCUCUCUCUCUCUCUCUCUCUCUCUCUCUCUCUCUCUCUCUCUCUCUCUCUCCACUCACUGCUUCCUUUGGGGAAAGUCAGCUACUACAUAGUGAACACACUCA
RNAcentral lists this long non-coding RNA (1725 nucleotides) under Callithrix jacchus (white-tufted-ear marmoset). RNAcentral describes it as "lncRNA (ENSCJAG00000085103.1)". The record is from RNAcentral. Lineage: Eukaryota; Metazoa; Chordata; Mammalia; Primates; Cebidae.